ACCCGCUGAAUUUAAGCAUAUCAAUAAGCGGAGGAAAAGAAACCAACAGGGAUUGCCUUAGUAACGGCGAGUGAAGCGGCAAAAGCUCAAAUUUGAAAUCGGCCACCAGGUCGAGUUGUAAUUUGUAGAUUGUAUCUUGAGAGCGGAUUAAAGUCUGUUGGAACACAGCGCCUUAGAGGGUGACAGCCCCGUAAAAUCUAUUCUCAUUGUAAGAUACUUUCGAAGAGUCGAGUUGUUUGGGAAUGCAGCUCUAAGUGGGAGGUAAAUUCCUUCUAAAGCUAAAUAUUGACGAGAGACCGAUAGCGAACAAGUACUGUGAAGGAAAGAUGAGAAGCACUUUGAAAAGAGAGUGAAAAAGUACGUGAAAUUGUUAAAAGGGAAGGGUAUUGAAUCAGACUUGGUGCUGUUGUUCAACUGUGUUUCGGCAUAGUGUACUCAGCAGUACUAGGCCAAGGUGGGGUGUUUGGGAGUGAAAAAGAAGUAGGAAGGUAACUCUUCGGAGUGUUAUAGCCUACUUUCAUAGCUCCUCAGGCGCCUCAGGACUGCGCUUCGGCAAGGACCUUGGCAUAAUGAUUCUAUACCGCCCGUCUUGAAACACGGACUAAGGAG
Molecule: ribosomal RNA, 609 nt
Filed under: uncultured fungus
Lineage: Eukaryota; Fungi
Description: eukaryotic LSU rRNA
Rfam family: Eukaryotic large subunit ribosomal RNA
Source: RNAcentral